GCUUGGUUAGCUCAGUCGGUAGAGCAUCAGACUUUUAAUCUGAGGGUCAAGGGUUCAAGUCCCUUAUUGGGCG
This 73-nucleotide transfer RNA is filed under the name Anneissia japonica. RNAcentral's name for it is "tRNA-Lys". It matches the Rfam family "tRNA". From Rfam's summary of the family: Transfer RNA (tRNA) molecules are approximately 80 nucleotides in length. Their secondary structure includes four short double-helical elements and three loops (D, anti-codon, and T loops). Lineage: Eukaryota; Metazoa; Echinodermata; Crinoidea; Comatulida; Comatulidae. The record is from RNAcentral.